UGGAUGAUCUUUGAGGUCCCUUCCAACCCGAGCCAUUCUGUGAUUCUGUGAUUUCAAGGCCAGGCAGGAUGGAUGAAGGCAGAUGUCCAUGGGCCAUUCCAUGUGCAGUUUCACUCUGGGUCACCUCCAAGUCACUGCAAAGAUGCUCUGGAGGGCAACAGGUGCAUGGUCUUUGGCCAUACUUGACCACCUAACUUGGCUAGGAGGCUGCUCUUACAAGACAGCAGAUACAUCACUUAGAUGCUGUCUGAGACUCUUUGAAAAGAGCUUCGGGGUUAUUUUUUCCUUGUUCCUGGUAAAGAAAGAAAUGCAAAGGAAUGAAAACAGUGCAAGAAGCAAGCUGACACGUGAAUGCGCCUUCCUGCGCUUUGGCUCUGUCACUGUUCCUGCUAAUGCAACACACACCCACGGCCAGGCUGUGGAUGGUGCUUACAGCAUUGAGCCUUGACACGUGCUGCAGGAUCCAGGCCAGUUCCCAUCAAAGUCAAGCUGAUUAUUUUAAUUAGCUUUGUUUCCUUCCAGCCCCCUGACUCUUUAUUUUGUUUAUUAUGGUAACUGAUUUGAAUGUUACGUUGUUAACCUCAAUCACAACCCAAUUAAAAAGUCCACCAUAAAAUGCUGUGUCUUUGCCAUCUUGACUUGGAAUAAUUAAUGUGAGUAGUACAAAAAAACCUCCCUCUACUACUUCUCAUUCACAUUUGGGGAAUGUGGCACAGAAGUGAGGACCAUUUGCCAUUUGGGACUGUCACCCGAUGGCACUGACCCUUUCUGCACCAUCACAGGCAGCAUGGACAUCUGGGCAGCCCUGAGAACCAAAAGAGAGGAAGGUGGAGAGGAGGGUGGAGAGGUGGGAGCCCCAUUAUUCCUCUAAUGCUUCCAAAGGGAAAGCAGGCUUCUUCAAAGCAGGAAAAACCCUUUGGGUGACAGUUUGAAGGGGACAUGGUAGAAAGCCUGGAAAACUUGACCAGUGGCUAGAUGGAGGUUACACUUCUAGCAGGACCAGUACCCAAGACUGCCUGUUCUGGGGAAAGGCUAGAGUCAGGUCCUUAAUGAAACUGGCUUUACAUUUGGGAGUUUUUGUUUUGUUUUGGUUUGGUUUUUGUCUGUUUGUUUGUUUUAAUUGUUCCUAAAACCCUUUUAGAACUGCAUUCUAGUGUUAAAAAGCAUUAGGAUUGUAUUUUCCCUUCUGCCAAAAGGAGAAAAGGGUUAAAGAAAAAUUACUCAUCCCAGGGAUUGAAGGCUUUUUCUAAAGCACUGCUUGCUCUGGUCCUUGGGCUACAUCUAGUAAAACUGGUCCUUGUCCAUCAGUACCCCCAGAACAGCCUUUCUCUCCUUCCAUUAUCCAGAAACCUCCACAGAUUUCCCUGCUCAGAAAUAUCCCUCUGCCAUCAGCUUUCCUCCCCAUGAUAGCUCAGAAACCCAUAAAAGCGCUUUUUGCAAUGCUGCGUGGAUUAAAUAAAGUCUCUGAGCCACCCCACCACACACACACACACACACACACACAUACACACUGCUGUAUUUACAGAUUGCAAAUUGUCUUUACAGCCAUGAGCUGCACACAUGCAGAUACAAAUCUCAGCACAGCAGGGUCCUGGGUACGCUGUUGCUGGAGCAGCAAGAAAUGCUGCUGGUAGCCACCGGUGUGUUGAUAGCUAGGGCAAAGCUGCGUCUUGUUCUUCAGGCUGCAAAGCCGGGGAAGUGGUAUAAAAAAAGCUGGGCAUGGAUGUGUGCCAGGAGGUAGUAAACAAACUGGGAGCUCUGUUUUUCCUCUGGCUUUCACUCCAGAGCCUUGUCUGUCUGUGGAGGAGAUUGCCCGGCUGCACUGGGCAGAUUUCUCAGAUUCUAAAACCGGCACUUUUAUUUAUUUUUUGGUGAUGGGGAGGAGUAGGAGUAAUUAACCCUGCUUUGUAGAGAGCCAGGUGAGCAGCAGGAAGCUGUGUGGACUCUGCAUUCAGGCCAAAGGCAGUAAAUGGCACGAGAGCAAAGUUCAGAGCUGCCUUCAAUCCUCGUUCACAUAAUGAAAGCAUGAAAGCAGAUUCACACGAUGGAUGAACAUGAAAAGCCAAACAUAUCGAUCACUCCGUACAUCGCUGGCAACCAGCUGUUCUGGCAGCAGUCUUACAAGGGCUCUGCUGCAGUCAGACACAAGAUAAUGAGGAGCAAGCAAAGGAGCCUGGAUCGGAUGGUGGACUCUGUCCAGCAAACGCAUUUGCUGUGUGCCUGAAACCUGCUGCACAGAGGCAGAGAAGCUGUGGCAGUGCUGCAGGGAGCAUCAGGACGCCAGAGCUGCCCGAAGGGCCCAAACAUCCAAACCCUCUGCUUCCCUCGGGCUCUGCUGCACGACUAACAAAGCAGGUGGUGCGCAAGCCUAGGUAUUUGACGUUUCUGAAGAUGAGAUAAAGGAGAAGAACCUCCCACACUACCUGUGAAGCCAUGACCAACUCCGGGGACACAAUGAUUUCUUUAACAGUGCUGUGAGUCUCUUUGUGUGUACGGUAAGUUGUGUUGUGCCUGCAAUCCAAAAUAAAGGCCAGCACAUGCCACUAGUGUGCUUCACACAGAGUGCACCAAUGAGUACAUACAUGGACUUUCACAACUACAUCUUCAAAAGCUGUUUUAGGUGAGCUGAAGUCCUGCUGUGCUCUGCUGUUGGGCUUGUGUGGCUCAGACACCAAAGCAUGGUGUCUGAUGGGUAUGGGCUAUGUGUAAGGGUUUUCUUUUGUUCUUUCGUAUUUUCAUACAGGAUGCAUGGGAGCAGGUUGUCUUGCCUUGAGACACUGCUUGUAGGAAGGGCAGAAAGCCUUUGGAUGCCUGUCUCACCCCAAGGAUAUAAUUCUGUAGCUGCCUAUCCUCCUCUGCAGCAUCGCCCAGCCAUGAGGUCCUGCUGUUGCCUGCGGUCCAAAUUGCACAUGACUACUGAUUUUUUUUCACAGGUUUCACUAAACACAUGGCUACAGUCAGGUAAUGCAGGUUCUGCUGAAAGCCUAAUGCAGAGUGUUACAACUCCUGUACAACUCAGGAUGGAUUUUCAUCUGUACAGCUUUGCAGGUAGUCACGUAGCUAAGUGACACUGAGCUGAGAAAUCUAUAAAGUGGAACGUCUUUGUUAGCCAUCUCGUGGAAUUGUUAAUGUCAUCUUUAGCUCUCAUUCAUGCCAAUUAGCCAAAGCCCCAUGGAGGAGGACUAGAUACAUAAUUCCAGCUGGAACUGGUGCGUCAUGUGUGGUUGCUGCCACAGGUCCUCAGCUCAGACUCAUCACUCAUCCGGCUAGUCACAGGGGUACUCUGGCAGUCCCAUCCGGAUGAUGCUUAUUUAGUCCCUUUGGUCUGCUGAAGCUGGUAAUAAAUCAGCUCCAUAAUGAGGUGAAAUUGCCAUUGGAACACACUAUAACUACAUUGUCCAAAAGGCUUUAUUAGGCAAAAUAGCUGCUUGAUAUCUGCCUAGUUUGUUGGUAGCCUUUCUAACUGGUUUGUCUUAUGGCUGAUCUUGAAUAGUUUAUAUAUACAGAAGGUAUUUUCCAAGACAUUUAUAGGAGUAUUGGGCUAACAGUCCAUAGCAGCACUCAGGACUGGUCGUCUUUGUUCUCCUGGGACAAGGGAUACUUCAUAAGAGUAACACUCUUAUGCCAUUCACACUCACAUGCCAUUUUUUCUUGAAAGCAAUUCUCAAAGGUGGUUACAACAUCAAUACUACACAUUUCCUUUCCCCUCCACUAAAAUAGGGCAGCCCCGAUAAUUUUCCUUAUAUCAAACUGGAUUAAAGGCUAGCAAUUCCAGUGCUGUCUAGGGGAUUUAAACACCCUGAUUGCCAGUGAUACCACUAGAAUCCAAAUAGCAGAAAUCUUUCUAAAUGCUUCCACACUGCUUUCGCCUACAGCAGCCACCAGCAAACCUUUAUUUUCCUUCUUUUCAGCCCAAAUGUUUUU
Molecule: non-coding RNA, 3924 nt
Organism: Anas platyrhynchos (mallard)
Lineage: Eukaryota; Metazoa; Chordata; Aves; Anseriformes; Anatidae
Source: RefSeq, a predicted model, not a curated record